AUUGAACGCUGGCGGCAGGCUUAACACAUGCAAGUCGAGCGGGGUGAUGGUGCUUGCACUAUCACUUAGCGGCGGACGGGUGAGUAAUGCUUAGGAAUCUGCCUAUUAGUGGGGGACAACAUCUCGAAAGGGAUGCUAAUACCGCAUACGUCCUACGGGAGAAAGCAGGGGAUCACUUGUGACCUUGCGCUAAUAGAUGAGCCUAAGUCGGAUUAGCUAGUUGGUGGGGUAAAGGCCUACCAAGGCGACGAUCUGUAGCGGGUCUGAGAGGAUGAUCCGCCACACUGGGACUGAGACACGGCCCAGACUCCUACGGGAGGCAGCAGUGGGGAAUAUUGGACAAUGGGGGGAACCCUGAUCCAGCCAUGCCGCGUGUGUGAAGAAGGCCUUAUGGUUGUAAAGCACUUUAAGCGAGGAGGAGGCUCUUUUGGUUAAUACCCAAGAUGAGUGGACGUUACUCGCAGAAUAAGCCCCGGCUAACUUCGUGCCAGCAGCCGCCGCGG
RNAcentral lists this ribosomal RNA (503 nucleotides) under uncultured bacterium. RNAcentral's name for it is "partial 16S ribosomal RNA". It matches the Rfam family "Bacterial small subunit ribosomal RNA", at positions 30 to 523 of the family's 1533-position model. The record is from RNAcentral.